UUUCCUGCUUUUCGCGUCUUGGCUGGAGAAUUCUAGUGCUAUUCCUUCCUCUUCUCUCUAGACUUUACGAAACCCUCCUCUUCCUAGUGCUUGCUGAAAGUAUUUAUGCAAUUUGCCAAUCGAUGAAGAAUUGACUUGGUGGUGUGUGAAGUCUAUCAAUUUGAAUAUCUGAGCAUGGAUAAAGUAUCACCAGACUGUCCAUACCCAGGAUGCUUUUUCUGUGUCAUGAAGGAAGGAAAUCCAAGCAAGCGCAGAGCAAGUAUAUUGAAAUUUUUCAGGGAACUUCCUUCACAGGAAGAUGAUGGCCAGGUUCUCCCAAUCAGUGGUCUUUGGAACACUGCCAUGGCACAUCCCAAUGAUCCUGAGUUCAUUGAGUUGGGAAUAUUUGAAUGCAUGGCUGCACUUAUAUGGAAGGGUUUAAAGAAUCGCAGGUGGCUUUCUCUCGAUCAGAACAUCUACAUUCCUUAUUAUGCUGCUCAUAUCAUUGGAUCCUACACCAUGAAUAUGGAAGAAUUUGCGGAAAGUGCUGUCCACGCUGGUGUAAUUCCUCCCCUGGUUGAGCUUUUGAGGGGGAGAUUGACAUGGGUUGAACAGAGAGUGGCAGUACGAGCUCUAGGACACUUGGCUACAUAUGCCAGCACUUUUCCUUCUGUAGCAAGUCAUGGUGAAAUACUUGAGCUUUCCAUUCAACUUGCAAUGAGUUCACUAGAAAUUGUUUACUCUCAUUUUUACCAGUAUGUUGAUAGAAGGCUAAGUUAUCAUUGUGAUUUGCUUACUCGUGGCAUGGGAGGUGUUGAAAUGGAGUCCAGGAAAGCCGAGGAAUGGGCUAGUCAGUUGCAAUGCUGGUCACUUCAGCUUAUUAAUUGUUUUGCUUUCAAGCCUGAGUUUAUUCCUACCAUUUGCAAGCCUGAAUUCUUAGUAAAACUGCCAGGCAUGUGGGGUGGACUUGUUAAUGAGAAUUCACCUGCUGGUAUUGGUUUAUUGAGAACAAUUUGUCAUCAUAAGCUUGGUAGGGGACCUGUUGCUAGCUGUCCUGGUAUAAUUGAGGCAUUGUGCAACAUUGCUAGCUCGUCAGAUGAUUGGCAGUAUAUGGCUAUAGAUUGUCUUCUUUGGUUGCUUCAAGAUCCAAAUACUUGCCAUAAGGUGAUCGAUAAGGCUGUUCCUGCCCUGAUAGACCUUGCAGAGAUCAAAGCUCUGGGUGAUCAAAAAAAGCUUGGUGAUUCCAUUGUUAAUGUUCUUCAGGAUUGUAUUCAAUCACAAGGGACAGGGCGUAACUCUGUCAGUAACCACACAAAAGAACUGAUUGGGGAAUUGUUAAACUCAAAACAAAGAAUGAAAUGGGAAAAGAAUAUGCCAAAGGAAGAUCUACAUAUCAAGCAGGCAGCAGCAUUAGUGGUCAAGCUUGAAGGAAAUUCCUUGUUCUCAUCAGGAAAUAUAUCUGGAGCUGCAUCAAAGUACUCUGAAGCAUUGUCAUUGUGUCCAAUGAGAUCCAAAAAAGAGAGAGUUGUUCUAUACAGUAAUCGAGCUCAGUGUCAUCUUCUGUUACAACAACCCUCGGCUGCUAUAAGUGAUGCUACACACGCACUUUGUCUUCACAACCCUCUUAAUCGUCAUGCAAAAAGCCUUUGGAGAAGAGCUCAGGCUUAUGACAUGCUGGGAUUAGCUAAAGAGAGCUUGUUAGAUGCCAUUCUGUUCAUUAAUGAAUGCUCUCAAUCAAAUGACCCUGAUCUAUGUUUGAGGCACAAUAAAGUUCCUGACUAUGCGGAGCGCCUAGUCAAGAAGCAGAUGCGUGCUGCCUGGUUAUUUAGAGAGGCAGGUAUCAAACAUGGGGGUGUCCACUAUGAAGGAGAUGCUGGCGAUGUUUAUGGCCAAGACAGUGAUGAUUCAGAAUGGGAAACAGCAAGCGAAAGUGAUAUGGGAAAUGAUGGAAGAGAUGAAAUGGGUGAUGAUGAUGAUGAUAGUGAAUGGAAGAAUGAGGAUGAGAGUAAAGAUAAAUGUGAUAAGGCAUAAUUAAAAGCUUGCGGAAAUGAAUCUUGAAUUUGGAAGGGAUGACAUAAAGAUGCCAUGAAGAGAUAUCUUGAAACUCAUCAGUGCAUUUGAGUUUGAAAUGGUCUACAGAAUCUAGCUUGGUUUCAUGAGAAGCAGGUUCGAUAGAAAUGUGUAAUUGGUCAUUAUGUUUAGCAGGUAACAACUGUUCUAUAGAUUCUAUUAUUUCUUUAAUUUCUGUUCCACAAUUCUUGUUUAUUUCAACUGUAGAAAAUGGAAGAAAAGGUUUUGAGUGUAGAGAACAAACGUAACCUAGAGGAUGGGAGAGCUAUUUUUGAGUGAUUUAAAGAAAGCUUGUGUAUAUAAAACCCUUUUGGGUCUUUAAAGUAUUAAUACUCUGUACUCGGAUGAUUACAGUAGUCUUCAUCAAGGGUUCAUCAUUUGUGAUAUAUUUGACAAAUUUAGGCAUAAAGAAUCAGAUUCCAUGAAUGUUAACAGGUCAACAUUUUGAAGCCCUUUAGGGGUUGGUCUCUCUGCUGAUAUACAAUGGUAUGAAACCUUCCAUUCUCAACCUCAACUAGCAUACUCUAUUGCUUGUGUGAGUCACUUCCACAUUGUAAUAUGCUGCACCCUAUUUUCAAACAGCUUUUUAUAUUUCAACCUGGAUGUUCCACUCUUACCCAUGUUGAUGGAAUUACAGGUUUAUAUGUAUUUUUACAUGGCUAAAUGUUUAAUUUUACUCCCAUACUUAAUGGGAUGUUCAUUUUAGCUCAUUCUUUAAUGUGCGUUGAGGUUUGAAAUGUGAAAUGUCUUAUGAAAUAGACAUUUCAUUGUUAACAACAUUUUUU
Molecule: unclassified non-coding RNA, 2834 nt
Filed under: Hevea brasiliensis (rubber tree)
Lineage: Eukaryota; Viridiplantae; Streptophyta; Magnoliopsida; Malpighiales; Euphorbiaceae
Source: RNAcentral